CAUUGCAUGCAUCUGAUGAAGUGGGUUUUAGCCACAAAAGCUUAUGCCCAAAUGAGUGUGUUAGUCUCUAAGGUGCCACAAGUCCUCCUCGUUCUUUUUGCUGAUUUUUUUUUUCAAGUGGUUUUUCCACCAACUUCCAGUGUCUUACUGGGAAGUAGUUUUUUGUUUUUUUUUUUUUUUUUAAACCACCAACUAAUAACUGCAUAUGAGAACUCUAAAUGGAGGAUGCAGGUCUCUGUGGCUGGAAAAUCUCUCUAAAUUAUUUUAAUCUUCCUCUCCAAAUAUCUAAAUUGGGAGACAGUUCCUCUUUGUUCAGUACUGUAUACUUCAUGGUAACCAAUAGUUAUUUAUUCUAAGAUUUUUCUCACACUCUUUAACAUAAACGUCAAUUUAACACAAUUGAAUGUUGCUCAGAAUUUCAGCUGCCCUCUUGGGUAACUAGUCAAGUCCUGUGAGGCCUCCAGUGCUCUGUCUAACCAGCUCAACUGAAAUGAGAAUAAGCCUACCAAUCAUAGUAGCAGAUAUUGCAAUAAUUGAAAUAGAAUAAUGAUAACUAAAUGUGCAACUGGUAACGUCGUACCACUUUGUCUUUGCCCUUUGAGAUUGUAAACUCUUUGGGUAGGGACUCUGGCUAUGUGUGUAUGUGUGCACCUUGUGAUGGGUUCCCCCCAGGGUGCCACCUGGAACUGGGGUACCACUGAGCCCUCUGACCAACCGACCUGGGCUCCCUCUCACACUGUGCUGCUGUGACAUGUUGCAGACCUGCUCCUGGUCCUGCACUUCCACCAGCAUUCACACAGAGGUGCUGCAUAGCU
This is a long non-coding RNA of Chelonia mydas (Green sea turtle), 815 nucleotides long. RefSeq lists it as uncharacterized. The record is from RefSeq and is a predicted model, not a curated record. The transcript is spliced from 3 exons. NCBI's taxonomy places the organism in Eukaryota, Metazoa, Chordata, Testudines, Cheloniidae.